Long non-coding RNA from Perca flavescens (yellow perch), 723 nucleotides. RefSeq lists it as uncharacterized. NCBI's taxonomy places the organism in Eukaryota, Metazoa, Chordata, Actinopteri, Perciformes, Percidae. The transcript is spliced from 3 exons. The record is from RefSeq and is a predicted model, not a curated record.
GAGGUGACUGAUGUUAGUAGACUGAAGUACUUCCAAAGUAUUGGCACAAGUAUCAUUUGGCAGCAGUCGUGUGCCACUUGCAGUUUGAUAACUUAUUAUCCUAAAGUUUUAAGUGAACUGCAGCAAGGUUAGCUAGCUAGCCUUGUUUGUUGUUUUCACUAGCUAGCUAGCUAGCUUUGGAGAAGUGUUAACUGUAAAACGUGGACGUAAGCUAGCACCGUCGGCAGAGACAGUCAGCUGUAAACGCCAGCCGCAGCUUUCACCGAGGACCGGGAGAGACGGAGGACUUCGCUGGAGGACAGUGUUAGUUAGCCGCUGUGGCUGCUGCGUUGGGAGGGACUCCGCCCCCGGACCUGCGUUGCCACACAGGCGGAUUGCGGAUUUCUUCUUCUCCUUCAUCGCGGAUCGAAUACUUUUACAUCUAAUGGUUCAUGAGCUGUCCUGCGUUGGGAAAUGGAUUGUUGACCCCCACUGAGAGGAAGAUGACCGUAGCCUUUCACCUAAAAUCCCGGCCACCCCCUGUGUCUCAGGGUGCUGUCUGGGGUGAUCCAGGGGUCAUGGAGUAAAAGAGAGGCCAGCUGGACUAUGAGAGGGUGACCAUGAGCAAGGUUAUCAGCGAGACACGGUGACAAAGGUCAGACAAGAGUCCUCUCUGUGACCCAUGGCCCUGCCAUGACCCAGGGACCCCAGAUUCAUCAGGGCUCUGUUAUUUCUGAGUUCACU